UUAUCGUGCGACGAGGCGCCAGGGCUGUCGCUGACCUCCCCUUUCGAGGUCGUGCACGCCCGGGGUGUCCUCACACAAUCCACCCCACAAAACCCCCCUUUGUGCAUCACCGCGUGGGCUCCUUUGGGUCGGUUCGAUCCGAGUGGGGCUUGCGCCUUUUACACGAACGUGCAGUGUAGAAUGUCUUUUGCGAUUGUACGCAAUCAAUACAACUUUCAACAACGGAUCUCUUGGCUCUCGCAUCGAUGAAGGACGCAGCGAAAUGCGAUACGUAAUGUGAAUUGCAGAAUUCAGUGAAUCAUCGAAUCUUUGAACGCACCUUGUUCCCCUUGNCAUUCCGAGGNNCACGACCCGUUUGAGUGUCGUGAAUUUCUCAACCUCCUGCUGUUUCUUGAUAGCAGGAGGCUUGGACUUUGGAGGCGCUUGCUGGCCUCUCUUCAGAAGCCAGCUCCUCUUAAAUGGAUUAGCAGGNUCUGCCUUUGGCCGAUCCUCGACGUGAUAAGCUGCUUCUAUGUCUUGNAUUCGGCUCCGCCUCAUUCUUUUGAGACCUGCUUCUAAUCGUCUCGGUUGCCCUUCGGGUGGACUUUGACCCACGAACCCUUUGACCUCAAAUCGGGUGAGACUACCCGCUGAACUUAAGCAUAUCAAUA
RNAcentral lists this ribosomal RNA (650 nucleotides) under uncultured Russulaceae. RNAcentral describes it as "eukaryotic LSU rRNA". The stretch from base 211 to 365 matches the Rfam family "5.8S ribosomal RNA". The record is from RNAcentral. Lineage: Eukaryota; Fungi; Basidiomycota; Agaricomycetes; Russulales; Russulaceae.